AGAGUUUGAUCAUGGCUCAGGACGAACGCUGGCGGCGUGCCCCAAUACAUGCAAGUAGAACGCUGAAGAGAGGAGCUUGCUCUUCUUGGAUGAGUUGCGAACGGGUGAGUAACGCGUAGGUAACCUGCCUUGUAGCGGGGGAUAACUAUUGGAAACGAUAGCUAAUACCGCAUUAACAAUGGAUGACACAUGUCAUUUAUUUGAAAGGGGCAAUUGCUCCACUACAAGAUGGACCUGCGUUGUAUUAGCUAGUAGGUGAGGUAAUGGCUCACCUAGGCGACGAUACAUAGCCGACCUGAGAGGGUGAUCGGCCACACUGGGACUGAGACACGGCCCAGACUCCUACGGGAGGCAGCAGUAGGGCAUCUUCGGCAAUGGGGGCAACCCUGACCGAGCAACGCCGCGUGAGUGAAGAAGGUUUUCGGAUCGUAAAGCUCUGUUGUAAGUCAAGAACGGGUGUGAGAGUGGAAAGUUCACACUGUGACGGUAGCUUACCAGAAAGGGACGGCUAACUACGUGCCAGCAGCCGCGGUAAUACGUAGGUCCCGAGCGUUGUCCGGAUUUAUUGGGCGUAAAGCGAGCGCAGGCGGUUUGAUAAGUCUGAAGUUAAAGGCUGUGGCUCAACCAUAGUUCGCUUUGGAAACUGUCAAACUUGAGUGCAGAAGGGGAGAGUGGAAUUCCAUGUGUAGCGGUGAAAUGCGUAGAUAUAUGGAGGAACACCGGUGGCGAAAGCGGCUCUCUGGUCUGUAACUGACGCUGAGGCUCGAAAGCGUGGGGAGCGAACAGGAUUAGAUACCCUGGUAGUCCACGCCGUAAACGAUGAGUGCUAGGUGUUGGAUCCUUUCCGGGAUUCAGUGCCGCAGCU
RNAcentral lists this ribosomal RNA (865 nucleotides) under uncultured bacterium. Its description in RNAcentral is "bacterial SSU rRNA". It matches the Rfam family "Bacterial small subunit ribosomal RNA", at positions 8 to 853 of the family's 1533-position model. The record is from RNAcentral.